This 116-nucleotide ribosomal RNA is filed under the name Klebsiella michiganensis. Lineage: Bacteria; Pseudomonadati; Pseudomonadota; Gammaproteobacteria; Enterobacterales; Enterobacteriaceae. The record is from RNAcentral.
UGGCGGCACUAGCGCGGUGGUCCCACCUGACCCCAUGCCGAACUCAGAAGUGAAACGCCGUAGCGCCGAUGGUAGUGUGGGGGUCUCCCCAUGUGAGAGUAGGGAACUGCCAGGCA